AGUUAACGCUGGCAGCGUGCAUAACACAUGCAAGUCGAGCGGAAUAGUUGCGAUUACAUCAAGAUUAUUUAGCGGCAGACGAGUGAGUAACACGUAAGAAAUCUACCCUAGAGCGGGGGAUAACUAGCCGAAAGGUUAGCUAAUACCCGUACGAUCGAGGCCCGGCAUCGGGCUUCGCUGAAGGACCCGCCAAGGGUCGGCUCUUGGAGGAUCUUGCGGCCUAUCAGCUAGUUGGCGGUGUAACGGACCACCAAGGCGAUGACGGGUAG
Molecule: ribosomal RNA, 269 nt
Filed under: uncultured bacterium
Lineage: Bacteria
Description: partial 16S ribosomal RNA
Rfam family: Bacterial small subunit ribosomal RNA
Source: RNAcentral